AAGUCGUAACAAGGUCUCCGUAGGUGAACCUGCGGAGGGAUCAUUACACAAAUAUGAAGGCGGGCUGGAACCUCUCGGGGUUACAGCCUUGCUGAAUUAUUCACCCUUGUCUUUUGCGUACUUCUUGUUUCCUUGGUGGGUUCGCCCACCACUAGGACAAACAUAAACCUUUUGUAAUUGCAAUCAGCGUCAGUAACAAAUUAAUAAUUACAACUUUCAACAACGGAUCUCUUGGUUCUGGCAUCGAUGAAGAACGCAGCGAAAUGCGAUAAGUAGUGUGAAUUGCAGAAUUCAGUGAAUCAUCGAAUCUUUGAACGCACAUUGCGCCCUUUGGUAUUCCAAAGGGCAUGCCUGUUCGAGCGUCAUUUGUACCCUCAAGCUUUGCUCGGUGUUGGGCGUCUUGUCUCUAGCUUUGCUGGAGACUCGCCUUAAAGUAAUUGGCAGCCGGCCUACUGGUUUCGGAGCGCAGCACAAGUCGCACUCUCUAUCAGCAAAGGUCUAGCAUCCAUUAAGCCUUUUUUUCAACUUUUGACCUCGGAUCAGGUAGGGAUACCCGCUGAACUUAAGCA
This 569-nucleotide ribosomal RNA is filed under the name uncultured fungus. Its description in RNAcentral is "eukaryotic LSU rRNA". The stretch from base 212 to 365 matches the Rfam family "5.8S ribosomal RNA". Lineage: Eukaryota; Fungi. The record is from RNAcentral.